This 425-nucleotide ribosomal RNA is filed under the name uncultured bacterium. RNAcentral's name for it is "partial 16S ribosomal RNA". It matches the Rfam family "Bacterial small subunit ribosomal RNA", at positions 354 to 796 of the family's 1533-position model. The record is from RNAcentral.
GUGGGGAAUCUUAGACAAUGGGGGAAACCCUGAUCUAGCCAUGCCGCGUGAGCGAUGAAGGCCUUAGGGUUGUAAAGCUCUUUCAGCUGGGAAGAUAAUGACGGUACCAGCAGAAGAAGCCCCGGCUAACUCCGUGCCAGCAGCCGCGGUAAUACGGAGGGGGCUAGCGUUGUUCGGAAUUACUGGGCGUAAAGCGCGCGUAGGCGGACCAGAAAGUUGGAGGUGAAAUCCCAGGGCUCAACCUUGGAACUGCCUUCAAAACUCCUGGUCUGGAGGUCGAGAGAGGUGAGUGGAAUUCCGAGUGUAGAGGUGAAAUUCGUAGAUAUUCGGAGGAACACCAGUGGCGAAGGCGGCUCACUGGCUCGAUACUGACGCUGAGGUGCGAAAGCGUGGGGAGCAAACAGGAUUAGAUACCCUAGUAGUCC